This 253-nucleotide ribosomal RNA is filed under the name uncultured bacterium. RNAcentral describes it as "partial 16S ribosomal RNA". It matches the Rfam family "Bacterial small subunit ribosomal RNA", at positions 524 to 776 of the family's 1533-position model. The record is from RNAcentral.
UACGUAGGGGGCAAGCGUUGUCCGGAAUCAUUGGGCGUAAAGCGCGCGUAGGCGGCCCUGUAAGUCCGUUGUGAAAGUCAAAGGCUCAACCUUUGAAAGCCGAUGGAUACUGCAGGGCUAGAGUCCGGAAGAGGCGAGUGGAAUUCCUGGUGUAGCGGUGAAAUGCGCAGAUAUCAGGAGGAACACCGGUGGCGAAGGCGGAUCUCUGGGCCGAUACUGACGCUGAGGAGCGAAAGCGUGGGGAGCGAACAGG